Long non-coding RNA from Lemur catta (Ring-tailed lemur), 574 nucleotides. RefSeq lists it as uncharacterized. Lineage: Eukaryota; Metazoa; Chordata; Mammalia; Primates; Lemuridae. The record is from RefSeq and is a predicted model, not a curated record. The transcript has 3 exons.
UGGAAAUAUCUCUGCAGAGAGUGAGAACCACCUUGGGGUGGUUCCCUUUGCUCUGUGAUGGGCCCAGGCGGCCAGCAGGAAAGGCGGAGAGACCCGCGGGUGAACAGGCCUUAGGAGUCCUCUAAGAGCUCUACGACUGCUAGUCUGCGCUGAUGCUCUCAAUGGCUCCAAUUCACAGGUAUCCCGAACCUGAAAACUGGCCAGUGAUCGUGGACAAGGUUUUCUUCAGGAAGAUAUUUAAUGCAAGGUAUUUAUAAACGUGUAAAACUGGAAGCAGUCUAAGUCUCCAGCAGGAGGGGACUGGGGAGAAAAGCUACGCCUGGUUUUCAGCAUGGCUCCUGUGCAGUGUUGCAGGUGAGUUUGUGAAGAUGCAUAACCUGGUACGAUGAGAGCGAACGACUCCUCCUGGGCCCCCCGGGACUUUCCCAGUUUUAGCACUAGAACUGUUGCAUUCCCGAAAACUCCUUGAUCCCGAGCAAAUGGGGACAGUUGGUCACCCUAGGUAUAAUUGGCAUUAAUGCUACACACCAACCAUUUCUGUUCUCCCUUCUUGCGGGGAAGGCGGUAGGAUGGU